UUUCUUCGGGGCGGGGUGCGAUUCCCCACCGGCGGUAUAGCCCGCGAACCGCGAAAGCGGCCGAUUCGGUGAAAUUCCGAAGCCGACGGUUACAGUCCGGAUGAUAGAAGAA
This 112-nucleotide non-coding RNA is filed under the name bovine gut metagenome. RNAcentral describes it as "FMN riboswitch (RFN element)". It matches the Rfam family "FMN riboswitch aptamer (RFN element)". From Rfam's summary of the family: The RFN element is a highly conserved domain that is found frequently in the 5'-untranslated regions of prokaryotic mRNAs that encode for flavin mononucleotide (FMN) biosynthesis and transport proteins. This element is a metabolite-dependent riboswitch that directly binds FMN in the absence of proteins. The record is from RNAcentral.